Molecule: ribosomal RNA, 253 nt
Filed under: uncultured bacterium
Lineage: Bacteria
Description: partial 16S ribosomal RNA
Rfam family: Bacterial small subunit ribosomal RNA
Source: RNAcentral
UACGAAGGGGGCUAGCGUUGUUCGGAAUUACUGGGCGUAAAGCGCACGUAGGCGGAUAUUUAAGUGGGGGGUGAAAUCCCAGGGCUCAACCCUGGAACUGCCUCUCAUACUGGGUAUCUCGAGUUCGAGAGAGGUGAGUGGAAUUGCGAGUGUAGAGGUGAAAUUCGUAGAUAUUCGCAGGAACACCAGUGGCGAAGGCGGCUCACUGGCUCGAUACUGACGCUGAGGUGCGAAAGCGUGGGGAGCAAACAGG